Molecule: ribosomal RNA, 253 nt
Filed under: uncultured bacterium
Lineage: Bacteria
Description: partial 16S ribosomal RNA
Rfam family: Bacterial small subunit ribosomal RNA
Source: RNAcentral
UACGGGGGGGGCAAGCGUUGUUCGGAAUUACUGGGCGUAAAGGGUUCGUAGGUGGCCAACUCAGUCAGACGUGAAAUCCCUCAGCUCAACUGGGGAACUGCGUCUGAUACUAGAUGGCUCGAGUGCAGGAGAGGAACGCGGAAUUCCAGGUGUAGCGGUGAAAUGCGUAGAUAUCAGGAAGAACACCAAUGGCGAAAGCAGCUUUCUGGGACGGUACUGACGCUGAGACGCGAAAGCGUGGGGAGCGAACAGG